GUGCUCACUUCGGCAGCACAUAUACUAAAACUGGAACGAUACAAAGAAGAUUAGCAUGGCCCCUGUGCAAGGAUGACACGCAAAUUUGUGAAGCAUAUUUUU
RNAcentral lists this small nuclear RNA (102 nucleotides) under Macaca nemestrina (pig-tailed macaque). Lineage: Eukaryota; Metazoa; Chordata; Mammalia; Primates; Cercopithecidae. The record is from RNAcentral.